GCUGGGCAUGGUGGUGCAUGCCUGUAGUCCCAGCUACUUGGGAGGCUGAGGCAGGAGAAUCGCCUGAACCCGGGAGACAGAGGUUGCAGUGAGCCGAGAUCACACCACUGCACUCCAGCCUGGGCUACAGAGUGAGACUCUGCCUCAA
Unclassified non-coding RNA from Papio anubis (olive baboon), 148 nucleotides. It matches the Rfam family "Metazoan signal recognition particle RNA". From Rfam's summary of the family: The signal recognition particle (SRP) is a universally conserved ribonucleoprotein. The record is from Ensembl. NCBI's taxonomy places the organism in Eukaryota, Metazoa, Chordata, Mammalia, Primates, Cercopithecidae.